UCGAGAAUCAUUCGCAAUGGGCGCAAGCCUGACGAUGCGACGCCGUGUGAGCGAUGAAGGCCUUAGGGUCGUAAAGCUCUUUCGCUUGGGAACAAGAGGAGCCAGCUAACAUCUGGCGAAUUUGAGGGUACCAGGUAAAGAAGCACCGGCUAACUCCGUGCCAGCAGCUGCGGUAAUACGGAGGGUGCAAGCAUUAAUCGGAUUUAUUGGGCGUAAAGGGCGCGUAGGCGGGUAGGUAAGUCAGAUGUGAAAUCCCGGGGCUCAACCUCGGAACAGCAUAUGAAACUGCGAUACCUAGAGGAUAGGCGGAGAAAACGGAAUUCCACAAGUAGCGGUGAAAUGCGUAGAUAUGUGGAAGAACACCGGUGGCGAAGGCGGUUUUCUAGCUUAGACCUGACGCUGAGGCGCGAAAGCAAGGGGAUCAAACAGGAUUAGAUACCCGCGUAGUCC
This 450-nucleotide ribosomal RNA is filed under the name uncultured bacterium. RNAcentral describes it as "bacterial SSU rRNA". It matches the Rfam family "Bacterial small subunit ribosomal RNA", at positions 355 to 796 of the family's 1533-position model. The record is from RNAcentral.